RNAcentral lists this ribosomal RNA (429 nucleotides) under Gemmatimonadota bacterium. Its description in RNAcentral is "Gemmatimonadetes bacterium partial 16S ribosomal RNA". It matches the Rfam family "Bacterial small subunit ribosomal RNA", at positions 355 to 776 of the family's 1533-position model. The record is from RNAcentral. Lineage: Bacteria; Pseudomonadati; Gemmatimonadota.
UAGGGAAUCUUCGGCAAUGGACGAAAGUCUGACCGAGCAACGCCGCGUGAGUGAAGAAGGUUUUCGGAUCGUAAAACUCUGUUGUUAGAGAAGAACAAGGACGUUAGUAACUGAACGUCCCCUGACGGUAUCUAACCAGAAAGCCACGGCUAACUACGUGCCAGCAGCCGCGGUCAUACGUAGGUGGCAAGCGUUGUCCGGAUUUAUUGGGCGUAAAGCGAGCGCAGGCGGUUUCUUAAGUCUGAUGUGAAAGCCCCCGGCUCAACCGGGGAGGGUCAUUGGAAACUGGGAGACUUGAGUGCAGAAGAGGAGAGUGGAAUUCCAUGUGUAGCGGUGAAAUGCGUAGAUAUAUGGAGGAACACCAGUGGCGAAGGCGGCUCUCUGGUCUGUAACUGACGCUGAGGCUCGAAAGCGUGGGGAGCAAACAGG